UCCCUCUUCCCCGCCCCGUCAGCUUUGAGAGGUUAUUUUAUAUUGAAUGACAAUAAUAACUACUAUAUAUAGAAUACUUACUACCUUUGGACAAAGCAUUUAACAUGCACAUAUUAUUUCGUUUAACCCUCACAACUGUGCCCUGAUUUCUUGCUCCCAUUCUGCAGAGGAGGAAUCUCAGGAAAACAGGUUCAAAGAGGCCAAGAAACUCGUUGCAGAGUUUUCACCCCAUUGCUCGGUGCUAUUUUCUCCUUGACUCUAUCACUGGAAACAUCGACUGAGAUCAGUAUUUGAAGGAGAAACAUGUGGAAUAAACAAUUAUGGAAGAAAAUGAGCGAGUAUGCACAGCUGACCGUGUUUUGGAAAUGGCUUGGGGACCUGUGGUGUCUGGGGUGACUGGGGAUAAGGCGCCUAGCUGCUGAGGGAGAGAGAGACUUUUCCAAACAGCCUUAGGAAGCUUCCUAUGCAAGUGUCUUAACACUCUCUGUCUUCCCCCCAGACCUUCACCAACACCUGCACUCCUCCUGAGUACUUUUGGAGUCAACUUUGUUUUCAGGAGUUCUGAAUAUGGGCUGAAACUGGCUUCAGGUAUAUGUCAGGUCAGAGCAGGACCCAGUGAGACCCAGUCCCAUUUCUGUUACAGACAGAGCAGGUAACACAUUUGGAAGCAAAGGUGAGCAUAGUCAGUGGAGAACCGAACAUUUGUAGCUUGCGUUACCUUUCUGCUAAGCUGAAUUCUUGUGAACCCAUUUCAGUUAAAAGAUUUCAUGAUACCCGAUUUCUAAGCUUGAGGGCUGAUAUUUUUCUAUACAAUUCUGUUGGGAAUCCACAACAUAACUUCCUGUUUGAUGUGACCCUGAACUUGAGGAUUCUCUGAGUUUUGAAUGAGCACUUAACCUAGUAUUGCAGUCAAGGACUGAGGACAAAGGAAUCACCAGGAAGGACAGUUGACUACUUCAUGGGGCUGUAAAGUCCAGUCUGCCCUCCAGCUUUACAGGCCCAAAAAACUCGAUUCCCAUCAGGGCCACCUAGAUGUCACCAGGCUCUCAGGCACUGGGUCUCACUUGUAUUUCCAAGUUGCAAUAUCGGGCAAGGGGAGGAUGGGGAACCUUACUGGCAAUUCUUUGACAAGCUUAAAAUAUUUCAUUUCAAUUUCUAGAUUGUUAAAUAAGUUUUAAAAAAGAGAAUCCCAACAGGAAAAGAAAAGGGAAAUCACAGCAGAUGCUACCAUCCACUAAGGAGAAACUGAGGCUGCAAGAGAACCUGGGGAAGAACUGUUGCUAUUCCCCAACCUGUGGCUUUCUUCAAUCAAAGACCUUCGCAAGUACCGGGGCACUGCCUGACAGGAAAUCACGUUAUGGGAAGAAACAACAUGGAUGACACGAAAACCCUCCGAGGAGCAUUCCCUGUGUGGCACAAUCCAUCACGCCAAGGCAAUUCAAACCACACGUCGAUGCCGUUAGCUUCAGCAACCUUCCAAAGAGCAAAAAGCACGAACCUGCAAGAGGAGAACACGCAGGUGGUUGCGUUUUAUCUCUUGUCCCCAAAGUCCUUGAGCACUGUGGAUUCCGUCCUGCUGCCCCUGAUGCCAUCCUCCCUGCCAACUGACUUGGGAGCCUGGAAGUGCAGCAGCAGCACUGGGAGCAGGUGAUGACAGUGUUGCCUGUGACUGUAGAAUGUGGGGUCCCUGCCCUGGUGCUUGGUAACCUCUGACCUUCUGUCCAUCCGUGCUAUGCAGCGUCAGCAGCACUAACAUGAAACCAAAGGCCAUGUUGGUCCCCUGGGCUCUGCCUCUUCUAUUGUCAGACACAUUUGUACUUUAGCCCUCGGGCUGGUUCUCUGUAAGAUGGUUUAAUCUGGAUUUCAAAAUAAACACCAAACAUACAUGUUCUAGGAGAUCAAAUAAAAAAUGCUCGCUUAACCCAGCUGAAUUCCUUCCCCAUUUUCCCAAAGGGAGAGUGCACAAAGAAGGGGCAUGACAGCAUUAAUGACUCUCCAGAUGAUCUCCGGUACUUUUUCUGUGGAAGGAUUAAAGGUCCCCCUGUAGUUUUGCAUUCAAAUUAACUAAUGAGGUUGAGAGCCUCCUGUCUCAGUUUCCGGUCUUUGGUCAUAAUUGCUGUUGCAGACUUAUUAAUCAUUUCCUGCAGUCUUUCCUUCUUUGGUUAUGACAAAUGUUAAUGCCUUUAAUUUCUCAUUCCUCCAUUGGGCUUGGGAUUCUGUUAAGUAAGGUUUUCUUUUUCUCUCUUCUGCCUUUCUCAGUAAUGAACAGUUUUCAUUUUCUGGAGCAGAUUGUUCUAGGUUAGUUUUUAAUUUAGACCUUCACUUUUGUUUUUCUUUGACUAUUCUAAAAAGAGUGGGAAGCCUACCACAACUGGAGCCGCAUCCAAGAAUUUGAAGCUUGUCAUGGCCUCUUCUUCAUUAUUUCCUUUGAGAGUCCCUAACUGGCUUCCAGGGGUGGGUGAGUUCCCUGAGAUUAUAUGCAACAUUUUGUGUGUUUAGGAGCAUGUGCUUCCCCCCGCCCCCUGGAAAAAGAUGUCAUAACUUUUAUCAGGUUUUCAAAUAUACAGAGGGCACCAAAAAAAUGUAUAC
This is a long non-coding RNA of Hipposideros armiger (great roundleaf bat), 2589 nucleotides long. RefSeq lists it as uncharacterized. The transcript is spliced from 5 exons. Lineage: Eukaryota; Metazoa; Chordata; Mammalia; Chiroptera; Hipposideridae. The record is from RefSeq and is a predicted model, not a curated record.